Molecule: long non-coding RNA, 4604 nt
Organism: Parus major (Great Tit)
Lineage: Eukaryota; Metazoa; Chordata; Aves; Passeriformes; Paridae
Exons: 2
Source: RefSeq, a predicted model, not a curated record
AAGUGGCCUGCAGAAGGAGGAACAAUGGAUGCACAGUCUGCAUCACAGGGAAAACCCCUGACACCUCAGGCAGCAGAGCAGCUCCCAGGCAUUUCCCUCUCAGCAUCUUGACCCUCUUUCUCCUCUCCCACAAGAAUUUACUCAGCCCCCAAGGGGAUGUUAUUUUGGAUUGUAUAACUUGCUGGAGUUAAACAGCUUUAUAGCACUAUUCAGGCACAAGGCUUUACCUCUCACUUACAAGUUUAUUUCACUCUGCAGGGAUCAUAAAGCAACUUUCAAAUUACCAGCCAGUACUGCUGGGGCACAGAAGAAACCAUUGUGGUGCAAAGUCCACUGAGCAGAGCAUGUAAGUGUAGCAAUGCUUUUAACCCCUCUCUGCAUGGGAAUCUGGAAACAGAUGGUAAAUGCCCAAAGGAUGGGUGGUACUGAGGGGGAGGGGAGGAGGUGGACCAUGAGCAUUUUGGUUCAGGUAGUCUGUAUCUUGGUUCAGUGCACUUCCAAAGCACAGACAUGUGACCAGGGCUUCCUCAGAGGGCUCCUCCAGUGAGAGCAACAACAUCCCUGCCUUCCUACCCACUGGAGGGGACCUCACCGACAUAGAGGUAGUGAUGAGAGCAAUGCCCUAAUGCUGCCCACUCUCUAAAGGAAAUGAAAAUUAUUGCACAUAUUUAACAGCAGUCUAUUAAAUUUGGUGUUUGACUUAAGCAUCCACAAGUAAUCAUACAAAAUCUCAGCUUUGGUACUUCAUGCAGACCUAGACACUCACUUACAAAGCAAAUGUGCAGGAUGCAAAUGAAACAUAAGCAGAAGGUAGCCUAGGGGGUCCGAGCCCCGAAGGCAUAUAACGCAUUGAUUCAAUUUUUGGAAGGGAUUUCUUGUUUAUUAAACCAACCACUUGAAAUUAAUUGGAAAGCAAAGUCUUGAUCUUGGCAGAUUUAAAUCAUAAAUAUUCAACUUUCACUUAUCUCCUAAACAUAGCCAACAGUGAAGGUCGGACUUGGAGAGGGAAAACAGGACUUGCAUGGUCUCAGUGGGUGGAAGCUGUUGGUGCUAGCUCAGCUCACAGGACACGAGUGGAGGAGGAGUGACGCUGGCUCCAAUUGCAGACACUUUUGUCCAAGUGUGUGGAGGUUGGCCUUUGGUCCAGACCUAUGAAGACAUAACAGCAAAGAAGCAAGGCACACAAGGUUGCUCAUGGUACUGUGCUGAUGUGAGUGUUUGGCUUCUGGGCCAGACAGGCUUGCAUCUGUCCAGCUCAGUGCAUGGGCUCAUGCAGACAGGCAUGCACUAAAUCUGAUCCCAGGGCCAUUCCCCGACAGAACCACAAAAUAAACACAUGCGCAUUGACUGCUUUCUAGAGUAUACCGGAUGUUAAUGAGCAGAAUAAUUUGUAGUGGCUUGACUACUGCCUUUUUUUUUUAGCUUGUGGCUAAUGCAUGAAGGCGUUUCUGAUCAUAACUAUGCCAAUAACCUAUUGUCACGUCAGCUAUUGCUAACAGCAUUUACUCAAACAAAAUAUUGAUGGAGCUCUUUUUUAUUGCACAGAAAAAACCAAGUGGGCAUGCUUUCAAGAAUCACAGUCAGAGUACAGUAUGUCUGCAUUUAAUUAUGGGGUUGGAGCAAUUAACACUUGGGCUCUGCUUUGUUCUGUAUUCCAUGGCUGGUUGUUGAGAAAAUACAAUUCUCAAAAGCUUGCCAUUUAAAAUGUAUUUAGCCUAUUUUUAGUUAGCGUGAAGGGGUUUACCUACAGUUGCUUAGGGCUAUGAAGGUUGGGCUAAGACUCGGGAGACCCUGAUUCAAUCCAAAGUGCUCUUUGUGACAGUGGAAAAGUCUUAAUUCGUGCUGAUGUUGCACUGGCCUGCUGGAGAAUUACUCCUUGCUGUAAGGCAGGGAUUCCAUUAGCUGUAAAGUGCUCAAAAUCUGAGCUACUUAAAAAAUAUCAGUGUUUUCUCACGUUUUAUUAUUAAUGUAUGACACUAAUAACAAUUUUCAUCAGGCAUUCACUGAUAACUAGAGACCCUUAAACCAAAACAUUAUACAAUGUGCAACCUAUAUAGCUUUGUGCCUUUUUCAUGAAUUCUCUUAAACAUCUAAGUCUGACCUAAUUCAAAAUUAUAUAUCUCAAGUAUGUAUCUUAGAUUAAAACAUAUGUUUCAGACCCACUGAAAAAGUUACAGUACUAAAGACCUCCUUUUUAUUAUUUCCCCUCACAACUUCACCUUGCAACACUUUCUUAAUUGCAAAACAAUUUUGGCUUGAACUUCUGUGUCUCAGUCUGCUGUACUGUGACCUAAAGAACAGUACAUACACAUGCAGAAAUUAACUGGUCCCUUAGGAGUACUCUUGUGCUGGAGAGUGAAGGAGGAGAAGGCAGAUUUGCAAAUAGCUAUAUUUUCUUUCACCAACUUAAUUGCUUCUGUUUGGAACUUUUAAAAUCUCACCUUACCAUGCAGUCAUUUUCAAAGUGAGCACAGCAUGACUGACCCCCAAAAAAAUCUGUUUGCUUUUUUAUUAUAAUUUUGGUUGUGAUAUUUUAUUAGUGGAGGCUGCAACACCUCAGAGGAGUAACACUCGGCUGGUUGUGGCACUUCUGGCAUUUCCUAGAUUAUACUCUGAUUAACUCUGCUAUAUUAAUAAAGACCUUUUAAUAUGCUUUUGUGAGAGUAAUUUCCUAGGGAUUUCAGGAAAGCAUAUGGAAAAACAAACUGCAUCACAUGGCAUCACACUGACACUUCUGCGAGUCAUCAGAGUUGGACCUUUGGAUCUCUAGCGUCACAGGAGGCAUGACACCCUGAUCACAUUACGGAUUACAGCAUCAGGAACCAGAGUUUUCAAAUUUUCACCUGAUCCUUUUCGUCGGCUCUCCAGAGCUUCCAUGCACCAGAGCAUGACCACAGCUGACUCCUCUUGGACCCAAAAGGGAGAGAGCUAAAAGGCAGCAGAGAAACAAACCUCUGUUGCCUUCUCUGAUUACAGCUGCAGAAUGAUUUUGAGAAAUUGCUAUUGAGAAAUACAUCAACAUAUUGUUGAUGCCUUUGGCUUAGUGAGUGAUGAUCUAAUUUCUGUUCAAUUGACCAGCAGCCAAUUCACAUUUGGAUCAAAGAUUGAAACACGGCUUGUUUCUUAUUAGGGUGAGCUGGUCAUUACAGUGAAUCAUAACAACCCUUAGUAAGGGAUUAAUCCUGCAAAAUGAUGAACACUUUGAAGGAGGGCAGGUGCUCAGUGUACCACCAACCUUGUUCUUCAUGUUACCAAGUCACACCAUUUCUAUGAAUCUGACCUGCCAAAUUAUUCAUGAAGCCCUAUUCUGUAAAUACAGACAUUCAUACAGACAAAUAUGUUGUACUGUUCGCCAAGGAAGGAAAAAUUGAUUAUACUCUAUGCUCCUCAUUCACACCUGCAUUAUGGAAGACUUAGGUCAAUCUAAACCAAAUCUAAACUAAAACUGUGGGAAAUGGUCUUUCAAUGAUUUGUCUAUUUUACUCUGAUUUCUGUCACAGAUCACCAGAAUAAACCAAAUGCACUGGGCAGUCAUAAAUAGAUCUAUCCUACUUUUGUCUAAAAAUAAAAAGCUGCUUUAACUUAAUCAGUAGUAGCAGUUGCAUGGCACAAAUGAGAAGAUUACUGGAAUUAGUUUAGAUAAUAAAAAUGCUCUGUGUCCCUCAUUAAAAGUCUUAACAAGAGUAACUAAAAUUGAAAGGAACAGUUGAAAGAUCAGGGUCAACAUCUGUUUAAUUUUUAGCUAUUUUAAUUCUAGUUCAUGAUUAUUUUAGAAGCUAUACGAAAGAGUCAAAGGAGAAAGAGCAAUGGGAAGAAGACAGAGUUCUUCAGGGGACAAUUCAUCAGUUGAUUCAACAUAUGGUGUAUGAGAAAACAGCAAAUAGAACAGAGUUCUCUUAGUCAUAAGCUAAUAAUAAAGCCUCUAGCCACUGUCCAGGGUAGGGUCAGGCCUUCAGCACUUUGAAUUUCUGACUGGUGACACGUUGCAAGAAAUCCAGCGCACAUGAACAACACAUGCUGUCUCUGGUGAAAGCAGCACUGACAGGAGCCACUCACAGUAUGCCAAAAGUUCCCAUUUUGUCACUCAGUGUCCCCAGGCUCACUGCACCUUAGUUCAGCAUGUAGCUAAGGGGCUUCCAUGUUAAAGAAUAGCUGAGGAAGGCCCUUGUGCCAUCAACAGAGGCAUAGAUGGGGAACCUUUCAGAGGAUCAGUCAUAUUUCUUGCAGACUAAGAACAGCUUGCUUUCUUUACCCCAUAAUCAGUCCAAGGUCAUUUGGCUUCAUCAGUGCACGGUAAAAAAGCUUUAAGAGACAUCAAAUGACCUCUUCCUUAUGGCCAGACCAAAAAGAAGAAAGUAAACACUUCUGCCUUCUCCUUAGUUUAAUUUCUGCCUUAGAUGUUGCCUGGGGCCUGAGAUCUCUGAAUUCAAAGAUGAAAAAAUGAAGCACACUGAAAAGGAUGAGUUCCUUCUUUUUUUUUCUCUCUGAGGACUCCUCAGGCUUUUAUUCACUACGUAAAGUAGAGCAAUCCAGCUACCCUUUCUGCAUUACAAACUUUGCUAAUAAAACCCAAAAUCAGACAAUAAAAGCACACUUUCUCCUGA